Molecule: unclassified non-coding RNA, 431 nt
Filed under: Lotus eriosolen
Lineage: Eukaryota; Viridiplantae; Streptophyta; Magnoliopsida; Fabales; Fabaceae
Description: partial external transcribed spacer
Source: RNAcentral
UGUAUGAGUUGUGWUUGGGWUGUUUUUGCUGGCUGGCUCCAUGCUUUUGCAUCGAACGGUUGGCAUGCAACUCCGUUUCAAGGACACCCCGCUCUUAGAUGCGGUGGUGCGUGGCCCCGGUUCCUUGUGUUGCCUACCUCUUGAAUGGUAUUCGUGUGGCUUGAUGGAUUCGUCCAUCCAGUGCCCCCCCGAGGGGUUCUGGGGGACUCCGAAGUGAUACACAUGCUCCGCCUUCGCUGCUCGAAGCAAGCAAUCGCGGUGCAUAUGUAUCUGCUGCUCUCUCGGACGCGGUGCAUGAGAUGAAACAUGGGAAAUUCUCCCAUUCAGUCCCUCAAAUCUUAGUUGCCUCGAAUGACACUUGCCCUCGUGCUUGCCUGCUCUCCACUCGUGGUCGGCACGCAAGCAUCGAUGUGCAAAGUUGUUAAUGGAUG